UUUUUUGACAAAUCAAUAAUUUUGUCCUUUGUGAAAAACACAACAUUGUAAAACGCAAAUAUGAUAUAGAAAAUGCAAUCUUAAAGAUAAUAGUUGCUUUAUUUUAUUGUUAGUUGUUUGUUCAGUAGUGUAUGUCAUUAACUUUUAAGGACAAAAAUGUUGAUUUGAAAAAAAUAUGUAUCAUCUUUUGAGGUCACCUGGCCCCAAGGGCCAAGUGCGCUUUUUUCAUCACUUGGCGUGCGUCGUCCGUCGUCGUCCGUCGUCGUUAACCUUUACAAAAAUCUUCUCCUCUGAAACUACUGGGCCAAAUUUAACCAUACUUGGCCUAAAUCAUCAUUGGGGUAUCUAGUUAAUAAAAAUGUGUUCGAUUGCCCAGCCAACCAACCAAGAUGGCCGCCAUGGCUAAAAAUAGAACUGGAGGUAAAAUGUAUAUUUUGGCUUAUAUCUCUGAAACCCAAGCAUUUAGAGCAAAUCUGACAUGCGUAAAAUUGUUUCUCAGGUUACAAUGUAUGAUCUAUCUGCCCUGAAAUUUUUAGAUGAAUCGGACAACCUAUUGUUGGGUUGCUGUCCCUGAAUUGGUAAUUUUUACGGACAUUUUGCCGUUUUUGGUUAUUAUCUUGAAUGUUAUUAAAGAUAGAGAUAAACUGUAUACAGCAAUUAUGUAGAGCAAAAUAAGAUCUACAAAAAAGUAAACAUGACCAAAAUGGUCAGUUGAUCCCUUAACGAGUUAUUGCCCUUUAAAGUCAAUUUUUGUCAAUUAUACGUAAAUUUUUGUAUUUUUUUACAAAAAUCUUCUCCUCUGAAACUACUGGGCCAAAUUUAACCAUACUUGGCUACAAUCAUUAUUGGGGUAUCUAGUUUUAAAAAUGUGUCCGAUGACCCGGCCAACCAACCAAGGUGGUCGCCAUGGCUAAAAAUAGAACAAAGGGGUAGAAUGUAGAUUUUGGCUUAUAUCUCUGAAACAAAGCAUUUAGAGCAAAUCUGACGUAUAUAAAAUUGUUUAUCAGGUCAACAUCUAUGUACCGUAAAACUUUAAGAUGAAUCAGACAACCCGUUGUUGGGUUGCUGCCCCUGAAUUUGUAAUUUUAAGGAAAUUUUGCCUUUUUUGGCUUUUAUCUUGAAUAUUAGUAUAGAUAGAGAUAGACUGUAAACAGCAAUAAUGUUCAGCAAAGUCAGAUCUACAAAAAAGUCGAAUGACCAAAAUGGUCAAUUGACCCCUUAAGGAGUUAUUGCCCUUUAUAGUAAAUUUCUCGUAAAUUUUUGUAAUCUUUUACUAAAAUCUUCUCCUCGGAAACUACAGAGACAAAGGAGUAGGUCCAGUAAGACCCCUUUUUGGCCCCAAAAUAUAGCAGUUUUACAAAAUUGUUAAAAUGUAAACCUUUAGUUAUUUAUUGAACAGUAGAAUGCUUCUGCUACAUAAAUAUGGGCUGUUUUUGACAAUACACUGCACAUAUAUGGGGGUACUAGCACCAUCAAGUCAUGCUAAAUUACUGAAAUCUUCAUAAUUCUAGCAUUUUAGUUAAAUUUUAGACGGUUUCCGUGUAAACGAAAGUGGCCGCAUUCGUGUUCACCCUUAAUAUUGAAAUGUGAGUUGUAUUUGAUGAUAAUAUAUAACAUAUAAAAGUUGAAGAUGAACACGGAUGCGGCCAGUUUCAUUUUUGACAAAAACCAUAUGAAAAGUGACAUGUUUUGGCAUAUUUGGUAGGUUUUUCAUAUUUAAGCUUGAUUCGGAACGUUUUAAUGACUAAAUUAAUUAAAAUCUUUCACAUAAACUAAUUGAAUUAAAUGAAAUAGACCCUUAAGUGUUUAAAAAGUGGUCAAAAUCUUUCGUCAGAUGAACAUCAAUUUUGAGGCCAAAAUCGGUCCUUACCGGACCUACUCCUUUAACAAAACUUGUCCACAAUCAUCAUUAGGGUAUCAAGUUUAAAAAUGGGUCUGAUGACCCCACUUGCAAUCCAAGAUUACUGACAUGGCUUAAAAUUGUACAUACGGUAAAAUGCAGUUUUGGGCUAAAAUCUCAGAAACCAAAGCAUUUAGAGUAAAUCUGACAGGAAAAAUUUGUUUGUAAGGUCAAGGUCUAUCAGCCGUGAAAUUUUCAAACCAAUCAGGCAACCUGUUGUUGAGUUGCUGGCCCUGAAUUGGUAAUUCUAAGAAAAAUGUUGCAGCUUUUGCUUAUUAUCUUGAAUAUAAUAAUAGAUAUAGAUAAACUGUAAACAGCAAUAAUGUACAGCAAAGUAAAACCUACAAAUAAGUCAACAUAAUCAAAUGGUUAAUUGACCUCUUGAGGAGUUAUUGCCCUUUAUAGUAAAUUUUAAACAAUUUUCAUAAAUUUGGUAAAUUUUUACAAAAGAUUCAAACUUCUUGGAUAGAUUCAUAGGUUCAUUAGAUAGAGAUAAUUGUAAGCAGCAAGAUUGUUCAGUAAGGUAAGGUCUACAAACACAUCACCAUCACCAAAACACAAUUUUGUCAUGAAUCCAUCUGUGUCCUUUGUUUAUGAUAUGUAAAUAGACCAAGGUGAGCGACACAGGCUUUUUGGAGCCUCUAUUUUUUUUGUAUCUGCAGAGUUUCAUGGUUAUUUAGGAAAUAAUAGUUUCCUCGUCUGUCAGUAGAAGAUUUCUUCAUUGAAAAGAUGCACUUCUUUUAAAUCGCUUGUUAGUUCUUCUGCUGUUGGACAAGCAGACUCCAGGAAUACUCUCCAGUGAUUUGAUGCUUGAACACAUAUAUAUCAAUAAAAAUGUUAACAUU
RNAcentral lists this long non-coding RNA (2745 nucleotides) under Mytilus galloprovincialis (Mediterranean mussel). Lineage: Eukaryota; Metazoa; Mollusca; Bivalvia; Mytilida; Mytilidae. The record is from RNAcentral.